CUACGUGCCAGCAGCCGCGGUAAUACGGAAGGUUCGGGCGUUAUCCGGAUUUAUUGGGUUUAAAGGGAGCGUAGGCCGUGGAUUAAGCGUGUUGUGAAAUGUAGAUGCUCAACAUCUGACUUGCAGCGCGAACUGGUUUACUUGAGUGUGCACAACGUAGGCGGAAUUCGUCGUGUAGCGGUGAAAUGCUUAGAUAUGACGAAGAACUCCGAUUGCGAAGGCAGCUUACGGGAGCACAACUGACGCUGAAGCUCGAAGGUGCGGGUAUCAAACAGGAUUAGAUACCCUGGUAGUCCGCACAGUAAACGAUGGAUGCCCGCUGUUGGUUCAUUAGGGUCAGCGGCCAAGCGAAAGCAUUAAGCAUCCCACCUGGGGAGUACGCCGGCAACGGUGAAACUCAAAGGAAUUGACGGGGGCCCGCACAAGCGGAGGAACAUGUGGUUUAAUUCGAUGAUACGCGAGGAACCUUACCCGGGCUUGAA
This 482-nucleotide ribosomal RNA is filed under the name uncultured bacterium. RNAcentral's name for it is "bacterial SSU rRNA". It matches the Rfam family "Bacterial small subunit ribosomal RNA", at positions 501 to 985 of the family's 1533-position model. The record is from RNAcentral.